Molecule: transfer RNA, 84 nt
Filed under: Tissierellia bacterium
Lineage: Bacteria; Bacillati; Bacillota; Tissierellia
Description: tRNA-Leu
Rfam family: tRNA
About the family: Transfer RNA (tRNA) molecules are approximately 80 nucleotides in length. Their secondary structure includes four short double-helical elements and three loops (D, anti-codon, and T loops).
Source: RNAcentral
GCAGAGGUGGCGGAACUGGCAGACGCGCCAGCUUGAGGGGCUGGUGGUCCAACGACUGUGAGGGUUCAAAUCCCUUUCUCUGCA